UCCGUAGGUGAACCUGCGGAGGGAUCAUUACAGAGUUCGUGCCCUUUGGGUAGAUCUCCCACCCACUGUUAUCACUACGAAUGUUGCUUUGGCGGGCCGCAGGGCCCUGCCCGGCCGCCGGCCCCGCCGGUGUGCGCCCGCCAGAGGCCUCUAUAGACUCUGAAUGUUAGUGUCGUCUGAGUACUAUAUAAUAGUUAAAACUUUCAACAACGGAUCUCUUGGUUCUGGCAUCGAUGAAGAACGCAGCGAAAUGCGAUAAGUAAUGCGAAUUGCAGAAUUCAGUGAGUCAUCGAAUCUUUGAACGCACAUUGCGCCCUGUGGUAUUCCGCAGGGCAUGCCUGUUCGAGCGUCAUUUCAACCCUCAAGCCUGGCUUGGUGUUGGGCCUAGCCUGUCUGGCUGGCCUUAAAGACAGUGGCGGCGCCGCCUGGCCCUAAGCGUAGUACACCUCUCGCUCUAGGGUUCCUGCGGUGGCCUGCCAGACCCCCCUAUUCUAUGGUUGACCUCGGAUCAGGUAGGGAUACCCGCUGAACUU
Molecule: unclassified non-coding RNA, 533 nt
Filed under: Oidiodendron sp. KO-groupC 2014
Lineage: Eukaryota; Fungi; Ascomycota; Leotiomycetes; Myxotrichaceae
Description: partial contains ITS1, 5.8S rRNA and ITS2
Rfam family: 5.8S ribosomal RNA (bases 199-352)
Source: RNAcentral